Molecule: long non-coding RNA, 503 nt
Organism: Salvelinus sp. IW2-2015
Lineage: Eukaryota; Metazoa; Chordata; Actinopteri; Salmoniformes; Salmonidae
Source: RefSeq, a predicted model, not a curated record
UGUUCCGCUCCUCACUACUGCUGUGGUUGUUUCAGACGUGUCACCGGUGCCAUGGCUGUGGUAGGACGCGCUGCACACACUGUGCAGGGAGGGGAAAUAGGCGAUGUCCGUUCUGCCACGGACAUGGGCGCAGGACAACAGGACAUGGACGUAACAACAGGGCCGGUAACAACAGAUGUUCCAGCUGCCAGGGGAGGGGAAGGAAGAGAUGCACGUUCUGCCAUGGACACGGACACAAGACCUGCCCCACCUGCCAGGGCAACAGAAACCUGAUGCACUUCAUUCAGCUCACCAUCACAUGGUACUGAACUGGGCCCGGUUUCCCCGAUGGAACCUAAGCCUACAAGUGUUUUUAACACUGCGUCGGUCCUUCAAUAACGGCCCGAAGAUGUCACAAUGCGUCGGUCCUUUAAUAACAAAAUACAUUAAUGCACGAUGGCGCAGGAUGGCGCACGGGCGCCAUCGUGCAUACAUUUAUUUUGUCCCCCCACACCAAACGCGAU